AGAGACAGCAGUCGCCACGGGAAUACGAAGGGGGCUAGCGUUGCUCGGAAUGACUGGGCGUAAAGGGCGCGUAGGCGGAUUGUUUAGUUAGGCGUGAAAUUCCUGGGCUUAACCUGGGGACUGCGCUUAAUACAGGCAGUCUAGAGUGAGGAAGAGGGUUGUGGAAUUCCCAGUGUAGAGGUGAAAUUCGUAGAUAUUGGGAAGAACACCGGCGGCGAAGGCGGCGACCUGGCCCAUUACUGACGCUGAGGCGCGAAAGCGUGGGGAGCAAACAGGAUUAGAUACCCCUGUAGUCCCUGUCUCUUAUAC
RNAcentral lists this ribosomal RNA (309 nucleotides) under uncultured bacterium. Its description in RNAcentral is "partial 16S ribosomal RNA". It matches the Rfam family "Bacterial small subunit ribosomal RNA", at positions 504 to 807 of the family's 1533-position model. The record is from RNAcentral.